Molecule: non-coding RNA, 184 nt
Organism: Dermacentor andersoni
Lineage: Eukaryota; Metazoa; Arthropoda; Arachnida; Ixodida; Ixodidae
Source: RefSeq, a predicted model, not a curated record
AUAAACGGCCGACGUAGGUCAAAGAGUACUAUCGGUUCUUAUCGGCUUAAUAUCUGAUAGCGGUUCUAUAUGGGACGGACCAAGAUAUUAAAUUUAUUUUUGCAAGUUGUCGGAGUGCUUCAAGCCUGCGUCAACUCCUCCGUGGGUCGGCGGGUCACGGCAAGAUGCACGGAACCCUACCCAU